AGAGUUUGAUCAUGGCUCAGGAUGAACGCUAGCGGCAGGCUUAAUACAUGCAAGUCGAGGGGCAGCAUAAAUGUAGCAAUACAUUUGAUGGCGACCGGCAAACGGGUGCGGAACACGUACACAACCUUCCUAUAAGUGGGGAAUAGCCCAGAGAAAUUUGGAUUAAUACCCCGUAACAUAAUGAAGUGGCAUCACUUUAUUAUUAUAGCUCCGGCGGUUUUGGAUGGGCGUGCGCCUGAUUAGGUAGUUGGCGGGGUAACGGCCCACCAAGCCUUCGAUCAGUAACUGGUGUGAGAGCACGACCAGUCACACGGGCACUGAGACACGGGCCCGACUCCUACGGGAGGCAGCAGUAAGGAAUAUUGGUCAAUGGACGCAAGUCUGAACCAGCCAUGCCGCGUGAAGGAUGAAGGUCCUCUGGAUUGUAAACUUCUUUUAUCUGGGACGAAAAAAGGGAAUUCUUUCUCACUUGACGGUACCAGAGGAAUAAGCACCGGCUAACUCCGUG
Molecule: ribosomal RNA, 508 nt
Filed under: uncultured bacterium
Lineage: Bacteria
Description: bacterial SSU rRNA
Rfam family: Bacterial small subunit ribosomal RNA
Source: RNAcentral